UCUUUGGUAACCCAAUUAUUGCUUAAUAGCAUGCUAUUUUGCCUCCAUGUGUUUGCUUUUUUUCAUUGUUUUUAUUGUAGUUGAUUCAUAAAUUUAGGCCAUUGUAGUCUGAGAAGAUGCUUGAUAUGAUUUCUAUCUUCUUGAGUUUGAAAUGGCUUUGCUGUCUCCCAAUAUGUGGUAUAUUUUUGAAGAUGUCUUUUGUGCACUUCAGAAGAAUGUAUAUUCUGUUGUUUUUGGUGAAAUGUUCUGAAGAUAUCAAUUAA
This is a long non-coding RNA of Myotis brandtii (Brandt's bat), 263 nucleotides long. RefSeq lists it as uncharacterized. The transcript is spliced from 3 exons. The record is from RefSeq and is a predicted model, not a curated record. Lineage: Eukaryota; Metazoa; Chordata; Mammalia; Chiroptera; Vespertilionidae.